This 278-nucleotide ribosomal RNA is filed under the name uncultured bacterium. RNAcentral describes it as "partial 16S ribosomal RNA". It matches the Rfam family "Bacterial small subunit ribosomal RNA", at positions 506 to 784 of the family's 1533-position model. The record is from RNAcentral.
UGCCAGCCGCCGCGGUAAUACGGAGGGUGCGAGCGUUAUCCGGAAUUAUUGGGUUUAAAGGGUGUGUAGGCGGACUAUUAAGUCAGAGGUGAAAUAGCAUGGCUCAACCAUGUUGCUGCCUUUGAUACUGAUAGUCUUGAGUUUUGUAGAGGUAGGCGGAAUUUAUAAUGUAGCGGUGAAAUGCAUAGAUAUUAUAAAGAACUCCGAUAGCGAAGGCAGCUUACUUGACAAAAACUGACGCUGAUGCACGAAAGCAUGGGAGCGAAAGGGAUUAGAUA